AUACAGUAAUAUGAACAAUAAAUAAAUCUAAAUAAAGAUCACAAAACAAGCUCGAAUUCUUGAAGCCUGAACAAGAAGUUCUGGUUUCUUAUCCCCAACAGAGUCGCCAGAGCUGUCACACCUCCUUUAUCCUACCCCAAAAAAAUAGUAUAAGAGAGUUUUUUCCAAUUUAAGUGACAAUUGAAAUGGGAUUAUUAUUUAAGAUUAGAAUCACCACAUGGGAUAGUUAAUGGUGUCCCAAGUCACCGGUUUAGAAUCUCGAAUCGAGGAAAUUGACUCUUAUUAUAGUCUGCGAACACAGAAAUCCGGGUGCAGAACUCUGUUAACCCGGGAGAAGGUGUUAGGCAUUCCCGAAUUCCGUGGUUUUAGCACGGUCGCUCAACUAUUAUUAUUGGCCUAAUUAUCUGAUCUUUUACACGUUUUAAACCUAUUGUGCAUUUUUAACUUUUUAGCCGCUUUUAAUAUUUCAAGAAAUUUCAAGGUUAUUUAAAACACAUCGUAAAUCACGCUACAUGAAAUGCACCCGUAAUUCGCGACAGGUUCUAUUUAACAUUGUUAGAGAAUAGAAUCGGGUCACAUGAAAUGUACACCCGAAUUUUAGUAAUUACAAAUCACAACUACGUCACGGGAACCAUACCUAUAGCCAUGAUAUUUAUUUAAUUAACGCGCCUAAAACACACUAUGAGAUUCAUUUUUAGUAUCUAAGUUAUAAAAUAUGAGGGCCAUAGGUGGUUUAGUUAUGAAUGGCACACCUCAACUUAUUAAAAGAAAGGAAUUAUAUUCAAAUAAAGCGAAUUAUGGGGUUCAUGCUUAAUCUAAAUCAAAAUUCGGUUUCGCGUUCAUCAAUUCUCGAUUUUACCAUCAGUACUCCAACUGAUUAAGAGUCAAGUCGUUCCAAUUAAAAGAUAUGAUUCUCUGAAUAAACAAUUAAACUUUCUUAUAAAUGAAAUGUUUCCACGGUCAUUAUAUUCAAGCAACUCUGAGGUCAAAAUCAAUAAAUCACACUUCAAUUUAAUACUACGACUUCGUGAACAUGCUGACCCUUUCUUCUGGAAAUUGACAGUGAACUCAGCAUGUCCCAAACCCAGAAUGUAAAACAUCAAAACCAAGCAUUACUUGAGCUUAAGAAAUUUUACAAUAACUUCGGACUCCAAAAUUUGUGGCACAUGAAAGUAAAUGCUAUGUGAUUUAUUUGAACAUCUUGUGAGGAUCUAGUGAGGAAGAAGUAAAUGCUUAGGACUGCCAGUGAUGAUUAACCUUCAAAUAAACUCACAAUUUUUAUCGCCCAUCACACGGGUUUUGAAAAAAAUCACAUGAGGGCCAUAACAUAUCAUCAAAAUCUGGCCAAUUCCAUGUUAGAACAAGAAAUUGAAGACAAUGACUACUAUUUCGACACAUUAGCUAUCAAAUGCAGAUUCACGCAAAAUCAGAGAUCCAAACGUUAAAGUCAAUAAUGUGAACACAACCAAGCUCAUAAAAUGGCACUUCCAAGACCUCAAUUCACCACAACAACAACAACAAAUAAACAAAUAAAUAAGUAAAUAACAGAGGGGAGGGAUGAACCUGAAAACGCAAGUAUUCUCUUAAUAAUUGAAAAUAGAAAAAUCGGCCGCUGCAUUUGAAUCCGAAAUCAACUAAAAUCGGCAACAAGAGUUAAACAGGAAUGCGAAUCGUAACGAACCCGAACGGCGAACACAACUCCAACCUCAAGCAAACCCCAUUGUUUGUCCAAAAAUUUCUCUGUUUUGUUCUUCUUUGGUUGUUCCCCUCUAUUUCGUGUAUAUGUAUGUGUGUGUGGAGUUGAAGAGUGGAUAAGAUGGCAAUAGGAGUGGAUGUUUUUUAUGGUUGUUUGGGGGUGAGUAGCGGCGCUAGGUUACAGGGGUGGUCGCUUGGUGGCGUGAGGACUGAGAAGAAGACCGGCGGGAGGGUGGGUCUUUGUUUGUGCCUUAGCACUGAAGAAGAUCCAGGGCAGGGGUCGUUUGGUGUUCUCUAAGGCUGCGAUUGAAGAUGACGAAGUCAAG
RNAcentral lists this long non-coding RNA (2021 nucleotides) under Nicotiana tabacum (common tobacco). RNAcentral describes it as "long non-coding RNA (NTAB_LNC000348)". Lineage: Eukaryota; Viridiplantae; Streptophyta; Magnoliopsida; Solanales; Solanaceae. The record is from RNAcentral.